UGUCUGGUAAAACUCGUGCCAGCCACCGCGGUUAUACGAGAGACCCUAGUUGACAGCUACGGCGUAAAGAGUGGUUUGGGACACCCCAUAAAAAUAAAGCCAAAGACCUCCCAAGCUGUCAAACGCACUCCGGAGGCACGAAACCCCAACACGAAAGUAGCUUUACCUUCACCCCCCGACGCCACGAAAGCUAAGAAACAAACUGGGAUUAGAUACCCCACUAUG
This 225-nucleotide ribosomal RNA is filed under the name Myleus tiete. RNAcentral's name for it is "partial small subunit ribosomal RNA". Lineage: Eukaryota; Metazoa; Chordata; Actinopteri; Characiformes; Serrasalmidae. The record is from RNAcentral.